GACGAACGCUGGCGGCGUGCUUAACACAUGCAAGUCGAACGGAAAGGCCCUGCUUUUGUGGGGUGCUCGAGUGGCGAACGGGUGGGUAACACGUGAGUAACCUGCCCUUGACUUUGGGAUAACUUCAGGAAACUGGGGCUAAUACCGGAUAGGAGCUCCUGCUGCAGGGGGGGGGUGGGAAAGUUUCGGCGGUUGGGGAUGGACUCGCGGCUUAUCAGCUUGUUGGUGGGGUAGUGGCUUACCAAGGCUUUGACGGGUAGCCGGCCUGAGAGGGUGACCGGCCACAUUGGGACUGAGAUACGGCCCAGACUCCUACGGGAGGCAGCAGUGGGGAAUAUUGCACAAUGGGCGGAAGCCUGAUGCAGCAACGCCGCGUGCGGGAUGACGGCCUUCGGGUUGUAAACCGCUUUCGCCUGUGACGAAGCGUGAGUGACGGUAAUGGGUAAAGAAGCACCGGCUAACUACGUG
This 468-nucleotide ribosomal RNA is filed under the name uncultured bacterium. RNAcentral describes it as "partial 16S ribosomal RNA". It matches the Rfam family "Bacterial small subunit ribosomal RNA", at positions 28 to 507 of the family's 1533-position model. The record is from RNAcentral.